Molecule: long non-coding RNA, 177 nt
Organism: Patella vulgata (common limpet)
Lineage: Eukaryota; Metazoa; Mollusca; Gastropoda; Patellidae
Exons: 3
Source: RefSeq, a predicted model, not a curated record
AUCCACCAAAUUGCGUCUAUGUCCUGCGAACCAGCCAAGGGAGUGUGGGCCAACUAUUGUUGGUGAUGAAUGGAGCGAUCCAGAAUUGAUGGAAUCUCUUAGUGCUACUCUCUCUAAACAACUGGGAAAUAAUUUCUUGGAAUAUAAAACAUAUGAUCCAGUCAGGAUAGUUUUAAA